GAUGAAGAACGUAGCGAAAUGCGAUAAGUAAUGUGAAUUGCAGAAUUCAGUGAAUCAUCGAAUCUUUGAACGCACCUUGCGCCCUUUGGCUAUUCCAGAGGGCAUGCCUGUCCGAGCGUCAUUUCUGCCCUCCAGCCCGGCUGGGUGUUGGGCGCUGUCCCCCCGGGGACACGCCCCAAAGGCAGUGGCGGCGCCGCGUCGGGUCCUCGAGCGUAUGGGGCUUUGUCACCCGCUCGGGACGGACUCGUCGGCGCUGGUCUUCCUCCAGGCGACCCUUCGGGGCUCGUCUUCCUUCGGUUGACCUCGGAUCAGGUAGGGUUACCCGCUGAACUUAAGCAUAUCAAUAAGCGGAGGA
This 355-nucleotide unclassified non-coding RNA is filed under the name soil metagenome. RNAcentral describes it as "partial contains 5.8S ribosomal RNA, internal transcribed spacer 2, and large subunit ribosomal RNA". The stretch from base 1 to 121 matches the Rfam family "5.8S ribosomal RNA", at positions 35 to 154 of the family's 154-position model. The record is from RNAcentral.